RNAcentral lists this long non-coding RNA (1849 nucleotides) under Mytilus galloprovincialis (Mediterranean mussel). The record is from RNAcentral. Lineage: Eukaryota; Metazoa; Mollusca; Bivalvia; Mytilida; Mytilidae.
UUCAGGUUAAAGUUUUUGGUCAAGGUAGUUUUUGAUGAAGCUGAAGUCCAAUCAACUUGAAACUUAGUACACUUGUUACUUAUGAUAUGAUCUUUCUAAUUUUAAUGCCAAAUUAGAUAAUUACCCAAUUUCACGGUCCAUGGAACAUGGAAAAGGAUAGUGCGAGUGGGGCAUCCGUGUACUUUGGACACAUUCUUGUUGGGUAAUAUUUUCUUUCAAAAAUCUUUAUUUUGCAAUUAAACCAAAACUUAACUGAAAUGUACUAAUCAACGUAAUGUAAGAGAACUUGUUUAUAUAUCUUAAAUGCUUAUGUUCAGACAUUUAUAGAUUAUGACAUCAAAAAAACAUGAGUUAAAGUAUUUUUCUUGAAACUUAUUAUUUACUUGAGGGAAAAAAUUUCCCUAUUGUAAAUCUUGAAAUUUUGACAGGUUGUUAUUUUCAUUCUUUUAAUCAUAAAAUUGUUGCUCUUGCCUAGCAUUUCCAAGUUGAAGGAUAAGUGUGCCAUUCACAUCAUAUUGUUUAUUUUUUUUUUUAACUUUUUUUCAUGCAUCUUAGGUGACGGAAAUAUUUAAAAAGUAAAAAUAACCCAUGUAAAAUACAAUAUAUUAUCCUAUGUAUGUUUUUUCCCCAUAUAAUGUUGUAGUUUAGCUCAUUUAUACACAAAAUGCACACUACUGGUACAUUAUUGGGCACUUUUUUUAAACAAGAGAGUCUAUUCAAAAGUUCAAUCACUUUUUCUAUGUUUUUUUUUUAUAUAAUGCAUUCCAUAUUUUUCUAGAUUAUAAGAUACUCAUGUAUGUAGUUAUAAACAAUGAGUUUGUUUGAUGUGUUGUUGUAGAGGAUUAUUGACAUCCAAAGAAUAAUUUAUGAACAGUAUUGCAUGUCAAUAACAUUUUAGAGAAGAAAUAUUUACAAUUUUCUAAUCUUGUUAUGUAAACAUGCUGUUUACACCAUUUCAGCUACCUUAUGCUUUUGGUAAAUAGUGAGCUAAACAGUUGUAAAUAUUUUGUAAAUAAAUUUCUGCUGAGUCACUUUCUAAAACAACCAAUAUUACCUUAAAAAAACUCAAAGCUACUAAACUCACUUGUGACAUUGUGGCUCCACCUAUUUGAAUGUUACUAUUUUUAAAUGCUUCAUUGGUAGAUUUUAUAGAUAUUUUUCUUUACUUUUUCAUCAGUCUUUUGUUUACAAUUGCUCUUACUGUAUUUGCUAUAACACUUUUGUUAGGAUCUAUUUUAGUAGAAAUCAUGUUAAUCAAAUCUCCAGUUUAUUUGAAUGUUAUGAUUAUAGUUUCAUUCUGACAGGGAACAUCAGUUUGAUGUAUAAUUAGUGCAAUAAUUAAUACAAUUAAGUAUGGAAGAAAGUAUGAAUAAUUUUCAAUGAUACUUCAAAGGCUUUUUCAAGGUUCUUUAUACACAAGAACCGUCUGAUAUAUUUGCUGAUGCAAUGCAUCUUUACGUUAGUGUUGAAAGAAGGUCUAGAUGUUUACAUAUUUAUCAUACAGACUGAUUAAUAGAAGAUUAUGGAAGAAAUUGUUUUUUCUUAACGAUUCCUUAAAAGUGGGAUAUUUUUGCAGAACACAGUUUAAUGCAUAGUUUUUUUUAAAUUUGUAUCACACAGACUGAAUAGUCUGAUAUGUCAAUAUAAUCAUGCAAAAUAUUGUCAUUUCUUAAUCAUUUCAUUUUUUUUCAAAUUGAAUAUAUACUGAUAAAGAUGUAGUGCAACUUACAGCAAGCAUUUUAGAAACAUUUUAAAUUUGUAUUUUACAAGCUAAGUAAUUUGUCUGAUUCAAUCACAUGGUCAUUCAUGAUAUUGUCUUUUUCAAUCAUUUCAUAUUCUUUUCAAACUU